Molecule: long non-coding RNA, 655 nt
Organism: Onychomys torridus (southern grasshopper mouse)
Lineage: Eukaryota; Metazoa; Chordata; Mammalia; Rodentia; Cricetidae
Exons: 3
Source: RefSeq, a predicted model, not a curated record
UGUUGCCUUCAUUGGCCGUUUCUUAAUGAAUUGGCUUGUAAAGCUAUUUUCUAACGCUACUUGUUAACUGAAAUGUCCUUCAGGAGAAGACAUUUGAAUUCUCCAUGGGAACCCACUGGCUGUGUGCAAUGCUUCACACCAUAAAUCACCUGCAUCCCCACUGUCUGGGAUCUCAGUGAAGAGGUACCUGGCUGCGUGGAGAUUAUGAAGAUUACUUGCUUCUAGAGCAUCAGUGAAGUGUUACCAUUGGUCGGUAUGCCACACUCAGGAGCUGGCAUGAGAACGAAAGAAAAGAGAGGAAGAGAAUAUCAGAGUACUGGUCAUUCCAUAAAGCACAGAGAGAAGAAACCAUUGGGUCUCUAACAAAGGACACUCAAGCUUCAUGCAUGAGUUGUUUCCUACUUGGACCAAGCCAGUUGAGCACUCCUCAGGAGCAAGAAAAGCCUACUCUACCCGAGACAAAAAUGAAAACAAUAAACAAAUUUCCUCACUGGUGCCAUUAUUAGGAAAGACUGAGGAGAAGAAAACCAGAUGGAGCUGUGAGUAGGGUGAAUAUGACAGGAAGCAAGGGCAGCUCGGACGCAUCAGUCUCCCAACGAAGCUGCAUGUGAGCGCCAUUUCCCCUUCACCUCUUUCCUGCCUGUUUGUGGAUAAG